Molecule: non-coding RNA, 2448 nt
Organism: Podarcis lilfordi (Lilford's wall lizard)
Lineage: Eukaryota; Metazoa; Chordata; Lepidosauria; Squamata; Lacertidae
Source: the annotation of a GenBank genome assembly
UCUUGCUCUCCAGGCUUCAGGGAUGGCCGCCUGAAGCCUCCGGAGCACAGCAGGAACUCACGCUGCGCUCCGAAGGCUUCGGGUUCCUUUUGCUGAAGCCAGGAGAGCAAGACUCUCCCGGCUUCAGCAGAGAGGGAGAGCUGCGCAGCGCCCCUUCAGCCAAGUGGGAGGAGAAAUGGAAGGGGCUCCGUUUCUCCUGCCACUUUGCUGAAGGGGCGCUGAGCAGAGAGGGGGAGAUUUUUUUUUCUUGUUCUCCCCCUCUAAAACAAGGUGCGUCCUAUGGUUGGGUGCAUCCUAUAGAGCGAAAAAUACGGUAAGUUAGGGACAGUCAACAUCAGCACUCUUCACCCUUGAGCACUGACCGGGCUGGCUGGGGCUUAUGGGAGUUGGUCCAGCAACAUCUGGAAGGGACCAUGUUUUCUACCUCUUCAAUAAGUGGUUCAUGUUAGCCCUUGGGAAUUAAUCAUAUGCAUCUGCUUUAAAAACCUCUCAGAGUAAAGAACUCAGUGUAACUUCACAGACGCAGAACAAGGCUCAAGAUAAUGAUGAGAACAGACUAAGACAACCAUGCAAUUUACAUGACAUUAUUUGUAAAGUCAUCACUGUACACCAGAGAACAAGAGGAACUCAAGAAAACAAGCAAGGCAAUAGCUGUUGUAUGGUCAAUUUUGACCACAGGAAGUGGAGGAAGAGGGAAGGAUAAGAGGAACACGCAGGAGAAGCUGAGGCCACGGCGUCUCUGGCUUAAUCAUCAGGUUUAGCAGGAGAGAAGGAAAUCUCAGGUUUGCAAGCUGGCAAGCCUAGAUAAAUAAUAUUUAAGUUACUUCAGGUAGGCAUCUAAUGCCAAUGCAGAGAUUGGCAGAACUUGUGGGGCUGGAAAUGGCACAAAAUCCUAUAACAGUAACUGUCCUAUUCAAAGCUAUUCUCUUUCUCUCUCUCUCUGCUCAAAAACACACUUCCGUGCUAGCAAACAGUAAGUGUGUAAAGGGGGGGGGAUGCCAAGUUAUAUCGUAACCCAUCUAAAUCUUCCUUUUGAACAUCUUAUUAUUAUUGUGACUUCUGAGCAACUCCUGUUUUCAAUCUCCCCAGGUUCCCUCCCCCCACUGCCCCGCUUAAUGGCUUCUUUUAAUUAAAUUAUGUUGUGGCAUUUUAAACCAAGAUCUUUCCCUCCCCCAAACAACUUCCUCUUCAUUUGCCCUCUUUAUGUUUUUCAGUCUGGUGUUUCACAUGAGCACAGUUUUCCAAGACCGACAUGCGGUACCACAUUAUUAUUAUUAUUAUUAUUAUUAUUAUUAUUAUUACUAUUAUCAAACACAUCAAAUGCGCUCUGUUCUCAGUUAAUCCCUCAAAGGCUUAAAAAGCAGGAGCUGGGAACCUGUGGCCCUCCAGAUAUGGCCAGACUCCAACUCCCAACAUCCUUGAUCAUUCGUCCUGCUGGCCUCAGUAAAUGGGGAAUUCAUUGGCAUUUUGGGGACCCAGCCCUGGCUUAGAGAGCCUCCCUGCUUGGAGUCCCUUUAUCCCGUCACCAAGGCUUGUGUUUAAAACAUUUCCAUGAGCAAGAGAGGAGAAGCCUCUUCUAGAAUUAGAACAUUUCCGUGACGAAAUAUUCUUCCUAAUUUAAUAAAUAAUUAAAUAACAAUACUGGGAUGUGGGUGGCGCGGUGGGUUAAACCACAGAGCCUAGGACUUGCCGAUCAGAAGAUCGGCAGUUCGAAUCCCCGCGACAGGGUGAGCUCCCGUUGCUCGGUCCCAGCUCCUGCCAACCUAGCAGUUCAAAAGCACAUCAAAGUGCAAGUAGAUAAAUAGGUACCGCUCCAGCAGGAAGGUAAAUGGUGUUUCUGUGCGCUGCUCUGGUUCGCCAGAAGCGGCUUAGUCAUGCUGGCCACAUGACCCAGAAGCUGUACGCCGGCUCCCUCGGCCAAUAAAGCGAGAUGGGCGCCACAACCCCAGGGUCGGUCACGACUGGACCUAAUGGUCAGGGGUCCCUUUCCCUUUCCCUAAAAUAAUAAUACUAGUUCAAAUCUGCAUUCAUUACUAUAAGUGCAAUGCAUUAUCUCCCUACCUACGGGACUGCCUCUCCUGGUAUGCCCCACAGAGGACCUUAAGGUCCAUAAAUAGCAACACCCUAGAAGUCCCGGGCCCUAAGGAAGUCAGAUUAGCCUCAGCCAGGGCCAGGGCCUUUUCAACACUGGCUCCAGUCUGGUGGAACGCUCUGUCUCAUUUCUGAUUUCUUUCCGCAGGACCUGCAAAACAGAGCUGUUCCGCUUGGCCUUUGGCUUGGACUCAGCCUGACCCUUAUGUUUCCCUCCCUUUAUGUGAUCUAUGGGCUACUUUUAAAAUGAAGCUGUAUUUUAAAUUGCAUUUUAACCUGUAUUUUAAACUGGUUUUAUUUUUUUGUCCCCCCCCUCCCCAUUAUGGUUUUUACUGUAAUUUUUAUUGUUAGCCGCCC